GCCCCUGUGGCGCAGUGGUCAGCGCGCUCUCGUGCGGCGGGAGAGGACCUCGGUUCGAAUCCGAGCAGAAGCA
RNAcentral lists this transfer RNA (73 nucleotides) under Clonostachys rosea f. rosea IK726. It matches the Rfam family "tRNA". From Rfam's summary of the family: Transfer RNA (tRNA) molecules are approximately 80 nucleotides in length. Their secondary structure includes four short double-helical elements and three loops (D, anti-codon, and T loops). Further hydrogen bonds mediate the characteristic L-shaped molecular structure. tRNAs have two regions of fundamental functional importance: the anti-codon, which is responsible for specific mRNA codon recognition, and the 3' end, to which the tRNAs corresponding amino acid is attached (by aminoacyl-tRNA synthetases). tRNAs cope with the degeneracy of the genetic code in two manners: having more than one tRNA (with a specific anti-codon) for a particular amino acid; and 'wobble' base-pairing, i.e. permitting non-standard base-pairing at the 3rd anti-codon position. Lineage: Eukaryota; Fungi; Ascomycota; Sordariomycetes; Hypocreales; Bionectriaceae. The record is from RNAcentral.